UACGUAGGUGGCAAGCGUUGUCCGGAUUUAUUGGGCGUAAAGCAUGCGUAGGCGGAUAUUUCAGUGGGAUGUGAAACCCCGGGGCUCACCCCCGGACGUGCAUUCAAAUCUGGAUGUCUAGAGUACAGGAGAGGAAAGGGGAAUUCCUAGUGUAGCGGUGAAAUGCGUAGAGAUUAGAAAGAACACCAGUGGCGAAGGCGCCUUUCUGGACUGUAACUGACGCUGAGGCAUGAAAGCGUGGGUAGCAAACAGG
Molecule: ribosomal RNA, 253 nt
Filed under: uncultured bacterium
Lineage: Bacteria
Description: partial 16S ribosomal RNA
Rfam family: Bacterial small subunit ribosomal RNA
Source: RNAcentral